This 733-nucleotide long non-coding RNA is filed under the name Capsella grandiflora. Its description in RNAcentral is "long non-coding RNA (CGRA_LNC001108)". The record is from RNAcentral. Lineage: Eukaryota; Viridiplantae; Streptophyta; Magnoliopsida; Brassicales; Brassicaceae.
CCCUCCGUAUCCAUCAUAGUAUGAUGGUCCACAACACAUUGCUGGCUGCCCUUGCGGCAUCAUCGGGAUCGCCUGCGGCUGCUUCGGGGCAGGAGCGGGUNNNNNNNNNNGGCUGCUUCGGGGCAGGAGCUGGUGCUGGUGCUGGCGCUGGUGCUGGAGCCGGUGCGGGUUUGGCCGCGGCUGCUGGCUUCUCGGGUUCUUUAGGCUUUUCGGGUUGCUUCGGCUUCUCGGGUUCUUUAGGCUUUUCCGGUUGCUUUGGUUUUUCGGGUUCUUUAGGCUUUUCAGGCUGCUUAGGCUUCUCAGGUUCCUUAGGCUUCUCGGGGGCUUUAGGCUUCUCAGGAUCUUUAGGCUUCUGAGGAGCUGGUUGUGGCUGAGGCUGAGGAGGCUUUGGUGGCUCAACGAUCUCGAUGGUCUUAAUAGAGCCGCCGCCUUUGGAGCAGAGUUUGUCCAUGAUCCUCUCAGGACUACAGCAAACGACCUUGAUGAUGACAAUGUUGGACUUUUCAUCGAACAAUUGGUCUCUUAUUUCUCUUGUUCCCAAUCACACAAGCAUAAAAAUCCACUCAGUCCAUUUCCAACUCCCACCAUAUAAUUCACCAAAUAAAAACAAAACAAAAAACACUAGAAAAGAUAGUGUAAGAGAAAACUCACGAGGGAAUUUGCAAAGAACCUUCUUGACUUUCUUGUAACACUUGGCACAAUCAAGAUCAACCUUCAACUUCAUCAUAGUAAC